This 396-nucleotide long non-coding RNA is filed under the name Salmo salar (Atlantic salmon). Its description in RNAcentral is "lncRNA (ENSSSAG00000086656.1, ENSSSAG00000115699.1)". Lineage: Eukaryota; Metazoa; Chordata; Actinopteri; Salmoniformes; Salmonidae. The record is from RNAcentral.
UUAUGACAACUUCCGGAGGACGUCCUCCAGCCUAUCGUACUGAAAGCAUAAGCUACAGCUAGCUAGCACUGCAUUGUAUAAAAUGUGGUGAGUAGUUGACUCAAAGAGAGAGAAAGGCAAUAGUUGAACAGUUUUUAACAAAUUAAUUUAUACCAAAAUGAAGGAGAAGCAGAGAUCUCUUUUUUUCACUUACUUAGCUAGAAAAUGCAGCUAGCCAGUUUAGUCUACUGAAACACCCUGCUCAAACAGAGGGAUGCUUUGUUAGGUAGCUGGCUGCGACUUUCCAACACAACACUGGAACUCUUCCAAGUCAAGGCGGCAUGAAACACACGCCAUGGUCCCAGGGUCUGCUGGGGGUGUGGCCAGCCAGGCCAUCUGCGCCAGGAUUGGACCCCU